GUGUUGCCUCGAAGGGGAGUACUCCCAUCCGGCGGUCGUGUCGUCAAUACGGUCGGACCACUCCGACCCGUACGGCCGGUUCCGCGGACACCGUCCGCGGGGUGGAGGAGACCUUCAGUACCCC
Molecule: unclassified non-coding RNA, 124 nt
Filed under: Clavibacter michiganensis subsp. michiganensis NCPPB 382
Lineage: Bacteria; Bacillati; Actinomycetota; Actinomycetes; Micrococcales; Microbacteriaceae
Description: yybP-ykoY2
Source: RNAcentral